CUUAAUCCAGCCUCUAGUGUCUGUCUCAUUGACAGCCGCUAGAGACGCUUCCGCGCUUCUCACUGAUUUUCACAGUGAGAAGACGCCAGCGAUCAAUGGAAAGCAUUGAGAAUGGACUGGCUGAAUGCGCGCGCGCGGCUCUUACCGCACAUGCGCAUUCAGCCGAUGACACCAGAAGAGGGAGGAGAGUCCCAGCGCCGAGAGUCCC
This is a non-coding RNA of Pelobates cultripes (western spadefoot toad), 208 nucleotides long. NCBI's taxonomy places the organism in Eukaryota, Metazoa, Chordata, Amphibia, Anura, Pelobatidae. The record is from the annotation of a GenBank genome assembly.